RNAcentral lists this ribosomal RNA (301 nucleotides) under uncultured bacterium. Its description in RNAcentral is "partial 16S ribosomal RNA". It matches the Rfam family "Bacterial small subunit ribosomal RNA", at positions 509 to 807 of the family's 1533-position model. The record is from RNAcentral.
CAGUAGCCACGGGAAUACGGAGGGAGCUAGCGUUGUUCGGAAUUACUGGGCGUAAAGCGCGCGUAGGCGGUUACUCAAGUCAGAGGUGAAAGCCCGGGGCUCAACCCCGGAACUGCCUUUGAAACUAGGUGACUAGAAUCUUGGAGAGGUCAGUGGAAUUCCGAGUGUAGAGGUGAAAUUCGUAGAUAUUCGGAAGAACACCAGUGGCGAAGGCGACUGACUGGACAAGUAUUGACGCUGAGGUGCGAAAGCGUGGGGAGCAAACAGGAUUAGAGACCCCAGUAGUCCCUGUCUCUUAUAC